AGUGAACGCUGGCGGUAGGCCUAACACAUGCAAGUCGAACGGCAGCACAGUAAGAGCUUGCUCUUACGGGUGGCGAGUGGCGGACGGGUGAGGAGUACAUCGGAAUCUACUUUUUCGUGGGGGAUAACGUAGGGAAACUUACGCUAAUACCGCAUACGACCUACGGGUGAAAGCAGGGGAUCUUCGGACCUUGCGCGAUUGAAUGAGCCGAUGUCGGAUUAGCUAGUUGGCGGGGUAAAGGCCCACCAAGGCGACGAUCCGUAGCUGGUCUGAGAGGAUGAUCAGCCACACUGGAACUGAGACACGGUCCAGACUCCUACGGGAGGCAGCAGUGGGGAAUAUUGGACAAUGGGCGCAAGCCUGAUCCAGCCAUACCGCGUGGGGGAAGAAGGCCUUCGGGUUGUAAAGCCCUUUUGUUGGGAAAGAAAAGCAGCAGGUUAAUACCCCGCUGUUCUGACGGUACCCAAAGAAUAAGCACCGGCUAACUUCGUG
This 492-nucleotide ribosomal RNA is filed under the name uncultured bacterium. Its description in RNAcentral is "partial 16S ribosomal RNA". It matches the Rfam family "Bacterial small subunit ribosomal RNA", at positions 29 to 507 of the family's 1533-position model. The record is from RNAcentral.